Molecule: long non-coding RNA, 256 nt
Filed under: Brassica napus (rape)
Lineage: Eukaryota; Viridiplantae; Streptophyta; Magnoliopsida; Brassicales; Brassicaceae
Description: long non-coding RNA (BNAP_LNC000388)
Source: RNAcentral
UCGAUCGAUGUCGUGAAAGGUGUAUCGGUCGAUAUUCCUCUAGAAUCAUCGAUCGACACUUUCUAAUUGAUCGACAAACGAUAGUUGAGAUCAAUAGAUCUAGUCAAUAGACGAAUCUAGAAAGCGAGAGCCGAUCGGUUUGUCCUUAAGUGUGGAGCUCUUUAAUAUCUUGCAUACAAAAAUUAGUCUCUAUAUCAUUAUAAUCUUGAUUACCUGAAUAGAAACCCUAGAUCUAGCAACCAUCCAUCCAUCAAAC